UACGUAGGGGGCUAGCGUUGUCCGGAAUCAUUGGGCGUAAAGAGCGUGUAGGCGGUCUGUCGCGUCUGCUGUGAAAAUCCGGGGGCUCAACCCCGGACUUGCAGUGGGUACGGGCAGACUAGAGUGUGGUAGGGGAGACUGGAAUUCCUGGUGUAGCGGUGAAAUGCGCAGAUAUCAGGAGGAACACCGAUGGCGAAGGCAGGUCUCCUGGGCCACUACUGACGCUGAGAAGCGAAAGCAUGGGGAGCGAACAGG
This 255-nucleotide ribosomal RNA is filed under the name uncultured bacterium. Its description in RNAcentral is "partial 16S ribosomal RNA". It matches the Rfam family "Bacterial small subunit ribosomal RNA", at positions 524 to 776 of the family's 1533-position model. The record is from RNAcentral.